Molecule: unclassified non-coding RNA, 324 nt
Filed under: soil metagenome
Description: partial contains 5.8S ribosomal RNA, internal transcribed spacer 2, and large subunit ribosomal RNA
Rfam family: 5.8S ribosomal RNA (bases 1-120)
Source: RNAcentral
GAUGAAGAACGUAGCGAAAUGCGACAAGUAAUGCGAAUUGCAGAAUUCAGUGAGUCAUCGAAUCUUUGAACGCACAUUGCGCCCUGUGGUAUUCCGCAGGGCAUGCCUGUUCGAGCGUCAUUUCAACCCUCAAGCCUCGCUUGGUGUUGGGCCCUGCCCGCCGCGGCCGGCCCUAAAGAUAGUGGCGGCGCCGCCUGGCCCUCAGCGUAGUACAGCUCUCGCUCCAGGGUCCGGCGGCAGCCUGCCAGAACCCCCCAACUCUGUGGUUGACCUCGGAUCAGGUAGGGAUACCCGCUGAACUUAAGCAUAUCAAUAAGCGGAGGA